This is a long non-coding RNA of Sapajus apella (tufted capuchin), 1702 nucleotides long. RefSeq lists it as uncharacterized. The record is from RefSeq and is a predicted model, not a curated record. NCBI's taxonomy places the organism in Eukaryota, Metazoa, Chordata, Mammalia, Primates, Cebidae. The transcript has 2 exons.
GAUGUUUUUUUUUUUUUUUUGAGACAGGGUCUGGCUCUGUUACCCAGGCUGGAGUGCAGUGGUGUGAUCACAGACUUAACCACUCUGUCUAACACCAAAGACUUCUCUGUUGGAAUGAAAAUAAUGUAAGACGUUUGUUGGUAGUUGCCAAAAUUUUUUAUUUUAUAUUUCAAACUUGGAGAUUUUCUGAAAUCUCCAUAACUACUUUCAGGAAGGAAAAACUUUGUGUAUUGAUUCUUUUCUGAAUCAGAUCACCCUAAAUGUAUGAUGGGGUGAAUAUUCAGAAUGGUUUUUUUUUUUAAUUAUAUACUUAAUCGAUGUUUGAAGUGUUUCCUUAGUUAUUACAACUUGUCAAUAAAAAAGUUGUUGCAAUUGGGAUGAAAAGGAAUAGUGAAGACACUGAAUAAUGAAGGUGUUUUGAGAGAUGUUAAUGCAUAGUUCUAAAUCUAAAUGCCAUUGAAUGCUACUGAUUAUAUACCUAGUUUUUCUUUAAGAUUAAUGGCUUUAAAAUCAUCAUCAUUAUCCUUAGCACAGUUCUUCAUAUGUAGUCAGAUGUGUAUAAUUCCACUGAAUGUUCAUUCAACAAAUAUUUGAGCAUCUAUGUACUCUGGGAAAUAGCAAACAAAAUAGAUAAUCCCUGCUUUUAUGGAACUUACGUUGAUUUGCAGAAUUUACAUUUAUAAUCAAAACAAGUAAAUUAUAAAGUUUGUUAGAAGGUAUUGCAUUUUGUGGAGGAAAAAAUUAAGCAGCAAAGGGGAAAAGGGAGUGAAGACUUAGAGUUUUAAAUGGGGUAAUGUAUUGGUUUUCCACUGCUACCAUAACUACCACAAACAUAAAAGUGGCUUAAACAAUACAAAAUUCAUUAUCUUACAUUUCUGGAGGUCAGAAGUUUGAAAUGGGUCUUGGUAGGCUAAAAUCUAGGCAUUGGUAGGGCUGUGUUCAUUUAUAGAGGCUCUAGGCAAUAAUCUGUUUUCUUUCCUUUUCCAUUUCUAGAGGCUGCUUACAUUUCUUGGCUUGUUCUCUUCCUCCAUCUUCACAGUAACCAACUUUGUAACUCUUUGAUCAUUCUUCUGUAGUCACAUCUCCCUCUCUGUUUUAAAGAUGCUUGUGAAUACAUUGGACCCUUUUAGAUAAUCUAGGAUAAUAUUUGUAUGUUAAGGUCAUUGAUUAGCAGCCUUAAUUCUACCUGCAACCUUAAUUCCCCUACGGGCUCCAGGGAUUAGGUUGUGGGCAUCGUUUGGGGACCUACCCAAAUUAUUCUACCUACCACUAACAGUUAGGAGACAAGUAAAAUUUACUGAAAAGCCUGUAAGUGAGAGAGGCAGGGAAUAGUAUUCCAGACUGGGGGAACAGCAAUCACAAAGGUCCUGAGGUAGGAGUAUGUCUGGCGUGUUCAAGGAAGAAUAAGAGGUGAGUGUGACUGAAAGGGAAUAAGUGAGCGGGAGAAUAGUAGAAAAUGAGGUCAGAGAGGAGAGGUAAUGGGGACAAACAUAUUACAGGGCUUAUAGGUUAUUGUCAUAAUUGAUAUUUACCCAGAAAAUGUGGAAGACAAUAAGGAUGAGACUGUUGCUGGGUUCAACUAAUUUGGGAGUAAAAAUUAGCCUAGAAGCAAGGAGACAAGAGGCUACUUGUAGCAAUCUAGGGAGAGAUGAUAGUGACAUAAAAAGAAGGCCGACAAGAAGGAAAAGAAUACAAUAACAGG